Non-coding RNA from Myotis lucifugus (little brown bat), 75 nucleotides. The record is from Rfam. Lineage: Eukaryota; Metazoa; Chordata; Mammalia; Chiroptera; Vespertilionidae.
GGCAGUUCUUGGGUGACGCACCCUGGAAUCGGGCUCAACCCUCUCUGGUCCCGGCUGUGUUACCCGAGAACUGCA